RNAcentral lists this long non-coding RNA (534 nucleotides) under Oryza sativa Indica Group (long-grained rice). RNAcentral's name for it is "lncRNA OsMH63_10G011860". The record is from RNAcentral. Lineage: Eukaryota; Viridiplantae; Streptophyta; Magnoliopsida; Poales; Poaceae.
GUGGAGAUAGAGCAAGGUGGGGAUGGUGGGGAUGAUAAGGAGGAUGGGGGUCAAGAGGAGGAUGAAUUAAGGGAAAAGGAGACCAAGAGGGUGAAGAGUGAUGAUAUGGUGUUAGAUGACAAAGAGGAGGGGAAGAUGGAGGGAAAUUUCGGUGGUGACAAUGGGAACCAAGGUAUGGAUGGGGUGCAGGAAAAGUUUUUCGGAGAAAUGGCUUCGAAAAUCAUUGAUGGGGCUGUUGUAAGUCUCUUAGAGGAGGUGUGUGAUAAAGUAAUGCAUGAGGAGGGGCAGCCGGCUGUGCAUGAAGGGGAAAUAGGACAGCGGGAGGUUGAAGGUGGGGAUGAUAUUGAGCAGGGUGAUGGAGAGGAAGAGGUGGGCAAGAUGAUAGAGGAGAAAAUAGUGCGGGCUGCAAUGGUUAAAGAGGUGGCGACUACACCAACUCGGGCUAGUGUAAGGCUAGCCUCAAGUGGAGAACACUCGGUGGAAAAGGCUACAAAGAGAAAGGCACGAAAGAACCUGGAGCCGCAGUCAGUUUGA